UCUUUCUAAGAUCAGGAAGGACAUAGAAGGAUAAUCUUACCUCGCUCAAAUCCAUCAACAAAGCAUUUGCCGAAAAUGUCAGACCAACGGAAGUUAAAUCAAGAGUCUAGAUUAUUCCUUGCAAAAUCAAAAACAAUUGAAGCAAAUCUCAGGAAAAACGCAGCUUCAUUAAAUUGAAGAAAGAAAUAAGAGAAAACUGAAGACAUAAAAUAAAGACAACGGAACACCCACGAAAACUAUAAAUAGAAAUAGAAAUACAAAGAAUAUAACUGAAAUUUCAUACCCUAAUUGACAUACCGCCCUAAACUACUGUAAGCCGUCCAAAAGAUGAACAAUUACAACGAAAAAACUACCAUGUUUUUUGAUAGCGCUUGGUACUAGUGGUAUAGGACAAUCAGCAAAAUCACAGAGAGAGAUCGAAGGAGAA
This 427-nucleotide long non-coding RNA is filed under the name Nicotiana tabacum (common tobacco). Its description in RNAcentral is "long non-coding RNA (NTAB_LNC003782)". Lineage: Eukaryota; Viridiplantae; Streptophyta; Magnoliopsida; Solanales; Solanaceae. The record is from RNAcentral.